RNAcentral lists this ribosomal RNA (170 nucleotides) under Paenibacillus brasilensis. Its description in RNAcentral is "partial 16S ribosomal RNA". It matches the Rfam family "Bacterial small subunit ribosomal RNA", at positions 1 to 163 of the family's 1533-position model. The record is from RNAcentral. Lineage: Bacteria; Bacillati; Bacillota; Bacilli; Caryophanales; Paenibacillaceae.
UUAUUGGAGAGUUUGAUCCUGGCUCAGGACGAACGCUGGCGGCGUGCCUAAUACAUGCAAGUCGAGCGGGGUUUAUUAGAAGCUUGCUUCUAAUAAACCUAGCGGCGGACGGGUGAGUAACACGUAGGCAACCUGCCCACAAGACAGGGAUAACUACCGGAAACGGUAGC